This is a non-coding RNA of Schizosaccharomyces pombe (fission yeast), 437 nucleotides long. Lineage: Eukaryota; Fungi; Ascomycota; Schizosaccharomycetes; Schizosaccharomycetales; Schizosaccharomycetaceae. The record is from the annotation of a GenBank genome assembly.
UAACUAUUUCACCGACCUUAAUGGAAUUAGAAAUGCCCAAAUAUUACCUGCUAAACUGCAGCUGAUGGAAUGAUAGAAAUUUAAAUGGAAAAGUCCAAGGGAACAAAUAACCAAAUUUAUCCAUCAACCUCCAUGGUAGUAGAUGUAUCUCUAGGAAGUUGUUCAGUAAAUUUUUCUGUAACCGCAUCACAAAGGUCAAUCAAAUCAUCGAGCCCUUUUCUUAAAACAUCUACAGCGGUUGUUGAAGCUUGAAUUCGUUAGUUGAGUUUGUCCCAAAAUAUUAUUAAUCAAAUCUAUAAGUUAAUAUUUCAUUCAAUCACUUACGUGCUGUCUGAAUUCGAAAAUUCAUUUUUGCUUCAGAUGGAUGUGGGAUGGAGUAACCGCAAAACUCAACCUCAGGACUGAAAACAUUAGUGUUAAUAUAUGUUUACAAUUUA